Hemicordylus capensis (graceful crag lizard) is the source of this 1344-nucleotide long non-coding RNA. RefSeq lists it as uncharacterized. The record is from RefSeq and is a predicted model, not a curated record. The transcript has 4 exons. Lineage: Eukaryota; Metazoa; Chordata; Lepidosauria; Squamata; Cordylidae.
CCAUAACUAACUGUCUUUGCUGUAAAGCUGAAACUGAACCUUAGAACUGGUGUACAUGAAAUGAUGACUGUGUGUAGCAAUGGCUCACAUGAUCAGUGCUGUGUCUAUCCUCCAAGACCAUGAGAACACAGGGAAAGUACAAAGUACUGGUUGCAGAACUCAUCUUCCUACCACGAAAAAUCUCCCCUCAGCAUGAAAAGAACAGCCCGGUUAUUGCAGAAUGGUGGCCAUUUGUAUGUACUGAAAGCAAGGAGGAGCGUUUCCAUCAGCUAGCCCCUGGGGUGAAUCAGGAACUAGAUCCCAUGCUGCCUGGGCUCUGGAGCCUUGCCAUAAAGCCCACAAUGCCAUCUGGUCAUCCUCAGCUCCUAGCACCAGGGAGGCAUACAAUAGGAAGAUCCUGCUAGGCCACAGUGGACUGCCAGGAUGUUGAUAGCGGGACAUUCUAUUGUUUUUUGGGCCACAAGGAGGUCUGAGAAUCCAGAUGGGGAACUCAGCUUGGAUUGGGCAACCGAACAUCUAUUUUGUGGAUAGGUAGGAGGGGCAUGGUCUUUGCCCAGCUCUUGCUGGUUAUCGAUGGGUUUUUGGCUGUUUCACCCACCCACCCCCCCACCCACCCCAGUUGUUACAGAGUGAACUUCACCCCCUCCUCCUGUUGCACUUGGGGGAGAAUGAUUUGGUGGACAGAACAGGGAAGGCCGUGUCUCAACAGGCAGCCAGGGAUAUUGAGACCAUUAGGUCCUGGAUCCUGGGUGUGAGGGUGCUAUGGUCUGAUUUGUUACAGCAUAGGGUUUGGCGAGGGUCCUUGAAGCCUGGCCGGGUCACAAAGCCCAUAGGAAAGUUAAUCAAGCUCUGGGUGCUUUUGUUCGGGCAACAGGGGGCACAUUUAUAGCUCACCCGGCAUAUGUUUUUCCCAUCCAGAGUUGUUUCAGGGGGACAGUGUUCACUUCUUUAUAGGAGACUUGCAGGGAAGAUUGGCAGGGUUUGGGGAUGGUUGGUGGGCAGGGGAAGUGCCAAGCUAAGCUGACCCUCCCAGUGGCAGGAGCAGUGCAGUAAGCUGGGGCAGUACAUUUUCUGGUGAGCACCUUAAAGCAAAGGUUUGACAUCAGGAGGAGUCCUUGGCAGUCCUUAGAGGCCUCACGGCUUAAGGAGCACUGGCCCUGGAGUUACUCCUUCCUGCAGGGUUGCACCCUCUUUAAAGGUCCUUCACGGCUUGAAGGGGUGGGAUCUAGGCAGGCUGCUUUGACACAGGUUGGCUAUGGAAGCAGUCACUACAGGGAUGAUGCUGGCCGUGGAGCGCCAAUCCUCCUCGUGACAUUAUUUGAAUAAAGUUGUGGCCCACGUUUA